CUGCAAAGUGCUGCAGCGGCCCCAGUUCUGAUAAGCGCUCAUCGGGGUGCAGCUCACCCCGCAGCCCCACACUGGGAACCUUGUGGGGGGGCUCCUGGCCGCCCCUCAGGUGCCCCACGAUGCCGUUUGCGGCACAGAUCCCGUUUGUGCUCCAGGCGGCUCUCAUAGGACGCGUCCUUCCCAUCCACCCUCUCCAGCAGUCUCUGUACGAAUUCUCUCGCCGUUCCAUCCCGUCCCGCUGCGCGUCUCCGCGCCGCCCCUCCGCGCCCCUUCAGUUCC
RNAcentral lists this long non-coding RNA (279 nucleotides) under Gallus gallus (chicken). The record is from RNAcentral. Lineage: Eukaryota; Metazoa; Chordata; Aves; Galliformes; Phasianidae.